GCUCCGGUGUCCCGGUUUCAAAUCUACAGCCUCCAGCGCUAGGGCCGUUCGCCUCUCGACCCCCCCGCCUCGUGCUAGAGUGCUAGACGUCCACAUCGCGUCAUCGCUGAGCAUCCAAUCAAGGCGUCGAUCCGACCAUAUUCCCUGCAGAUUAACGCAAAGAAUAAGGGAAACAACAUGUGGUUGUCAUCAUAGAAUCACAAAGACAGGAGCUAUUGACAUUUUUUAAAGAAUAAUACUGAUGUGUCAAUGCGCCAUGAUGAUGAGUUUGCAAUAGUUGCCGUGGAGGAACAACUAACUAAUGGGAAUUCUGAAUCUGAGAAGCAAGAAGAAAAUGUCAUACCAACAUCAGUGAUGACGAUAUUAUCAAAUUCACUUAGUCAUAUGGCGUAAUGUCUCAUCCAACGCAAGGCCGACGGCGGAUCCUGGUGGCAUGGUGUUAGGGAGGUUCGGCGACGGGCGCGUGUGGACGGAUUCGUGCAGGAUGGUGGAGUUGUCUAGCGUCGUGGUGGCGUCGACAGCAGGCCGGGCAAUGUCGAUGGGUCAGUUGCUGCUCUGGAGAUGGACCAGUGGAAGAUGGCGCUUUGAGAGUGCGUCGAUCCGGUAUGAGAUCUAGUCUCGGUAUGUGGUUGGGUUGGGGCAUCCGGUUUUAAAUGUUAGGGUUUGGUGCGAUGUCCGUUUGGUAUUAGGCCCGACUAUUCGGCACGUGUUCAUCAAUGGGAUAGGAGUAGCAACAGGUGUUGCUUAGA
Triticum dicoccoides is the source of this 749-nucleotide long non-coding RNA. RefSeq lists it as uncharacterized. The record is from RefSeq and is a predicted model, not a curated record. The transcript has 3 exons. NCBI's taxonomy places the organism in Eukaryota, Viridiplantae, Streptophyta, Magnoliopsida, Poales, Poaceae.